Molecule: ribosomal RNA, 914 nt
Filed under: uncultured Gammaproteobacteria bacterium
Lineage: Bacteria; Pseudomonadati; Pseudomonadota; Gammaproteobacteria
Description: bacterial SSU rRNA
Rfam family: Bacterial small subunit ribosomal RNA
Source: RNAcentral
AGAGUUUGAUCAUGGCUCAGAUUGAACGCUGGCAGCAUGCUUAACACAUGCAAGUCGAACGGUAACAGGAUCUAGCUUGCUAGAUUGCUGACGAGUGGCGGACGGGUGAGUAAUGCAUAGGUAUCUGCCUAACAGUGGGGGACAACCUGGUGAAAACCAGGCUAAUACCGCAUACGUCCUACGGGAGAAAGGGGGCUUUUAGCUCUCGCUGAUAGAUGAGCCUAUGUCGGAUUAGCUAGUUGGUGAGGUAAUGGCUCACCAAGGCGACGAUCCGUAGCUGGUCUGAGAGGAUGAUCAGCCACACUGGGACUGAGACACGGCCCAGACUCCUACGGGAGGCAGCAGUGGGGAAUAUUGGACAAUGGGGGCAACCCUGAUCCAGCAAUGCCGCGUGUGUGAAGAAGGCCUUCGGGUUGUAAAGCACUUUCAGGAGUGAGGAAAGGGUUGUGGUUAAUACCUGCAAUCUGUGACGUUAGCUCCAGAAGAAGCACCGGCUAACUCUGUGCCAGCAGCCGCGGUAAUACAGAGGGUGCAAGCGUUAAUCGGAAUUACUGGGCGUAAAGCGCGCGUAGGUGGUUGGUUAAGUUGGAUGUGAAAGCCCUGGGCUCAACCUGGGAAUGGCAUUCAAAACUGGUCGACUAGAGUAUGGUAGAGGGAAGGGGAAUUCCAGGUGUAGCGGUGAAAUGCGUAGAUAUCUGGAGGAACAUCAGUGGCGAAGGCGCCUUCCUGGACUAAUACUGACACUGAGGUGCGAAAGCGUGGGUAGCAAACAGGAUUAGAUACCCUGGUAGUCCACGCCGUAAACGAUGUCAACUAGGUGUUGGGGGGUUUAACCCCUUGGUACCGCAGCUAACGCGAUAAGUUGACCGCCUGGGGAGUACGGUCGCAAGAUUAAAACUCAAAUGAAUUGACGG